CGCGUAGACGGUUUUGUAAGUCAGAUGUGAAAUCCCUGGGCUCAACCUGGGAACUGCAUUUGAAACUGCAUGGCUAGAGUAUGGUAGAGGGAAGUGGAAUUUCCGGUGUAGCGGUGAAAUGCGUAGAUAUCGGAAGGAACACCAGUGGCGAAAGCGACUUCCUGGACCAAUACUGACGUUCAUGUGCGAAAGCGUGGGGAGCAAACAGGAUUAGAUACCCUGGUAGUCCACGCCAUAAACGAUGACAACUAGAUGUUGGGAGGGUCUGCCUCUCGGUGUCGCAGCUAACGCGUUAAGUUGUCCGCCUGGGGAUACGGCCGCAAGGUUGAA
RNAcentral lists this ribosomal RNA (330 nucleotides) under uncultured bacterium. RNAcentral's name for it is "bacterial SSU rRNA". It matches the Rfam family "Bacterial small subunit ribosomal RNA", at positions 568 to 898 of the family's 1533-position model. The record is from RNAcentral.